Long non-coding RNA from Myotis davidii, 1480 nucleotides. RefSeq lists it as uncharacterized. The transcript has 3 exons. The record is from RefSeq and is a predicted model, not a curated record. Lineage: Eukaryota; Metazoa; Chordata; Mammalia; Chiroptera; Vespertilionidae.
CGCCGGGGUUCAAAGCCCACCGAGGGGACCCACAAGCACAAAAGGACUCAUUUUAAGAGAGAAAUCUGUAUGAAGUCCCGACUUGCUGACCAGGCCCCCCAAAGCCACUGGGGUUGGAGGGGCAAUAAGGUCUGCAACAGAGAGCAUGUUGGGGCGCCUCCACUCUGGUUCUGGGUCCAGGACACUCAUUUCUUAAACCGUCAGAAGUGGGUCUGAGUCCAGAGAUCCCCGGGGUUGGGGGCUGGGGGGCCGGGGCUACUGGGUUCUCUGUGUGGACUGGCUUUGAAGGAAAGGGCAGGGCAAGGAGGUGUGUUCAUAGACCACGAGCUGUCCCAGGUCCUUCCACACUCUGAAGCUAGGUUUCUGGUGGAAGGUGAAUAGGUAGAAACUCCAUGAGAUUCCCAGUCUUAAUCACAGACCUGACCAUGGCGGGGGGGCCCAUCUUCCUGCUUUACACAUUGAGGGUUACCUCUGUGAAAUCUGGGGCGGGGGGGAAGGAGAGACCAGACGAAGAGACUUCUUGAAGGGUACUGAGGGGUAUGGGCACAGGCCCGGGAAAGGUGAUUAAAUCUCAUCUUCUGUUUUUUACCGAGUUAAUUUAUAGCUCUGGGGGCGGAGCAAUGGGUCUGAGUAUGUGUAUGCAUUUCACGUACAUUGUGUGUCCUUGGUUGCGUGUGCUGCAUUUUGUGCGCCUUGUAAGAGUCAACGCAUCGUGUGUUUGCACUGAGUUUGUGUAUUUGGAGCGAUUUCGUAUGUGCACUCCUUGUGUUCGUGUAGUUUUUGUGUAUUUUGCACCUGGGUGCAGGUCAUGUCGUGUACCCGGUGCAUGUAUGUCUUUGUAUAGGUCCUGUAUUGGUAAGUCCAUUCUAUGUGUGUGCUGGAUGCGUACUUUGGAUAUGGGGAUAACCAUGUAUCUAUCUUAAUUUGGUCUCUGUGUAUUUUGCAUGUGUGUUGCAUGUUUUGUGUAUGUGGCAACAGUGUGCCUCCUUUGUGGUGGGUGUGCAUGCAUGUGUGCCUGUGUGUGGGAAGGUUCUGUAGUCCUAGGUCAAGGACAGGGGGAUAAAAUACCCUUGACCUAGGCCUUAGGGAUGGGAUGGGUCCCCCUUCCUCACGUCUCGGAAAUUCAGCACCAUCUCCCACGAGGACGGGGAGAGAAGCACAGAGGCCCUGCACUGGGCCGGAUGCCCCGCAGACACCUGGGGAUGUGGGUGACCAGGAACUAGUGAGCACCCUGGGCCUAGCACCCUGAGCUGGUGCCCCACCCCCAAGGUAACUGCAGGUGCUAAACAGCCAACAGUGAGGCUGGGGCUGGGCCUACGACUGGGCAGCCCGACCACACACCUCUCUGUGUUUGGGACAUUUCAGCUAUUGUGUUGAAAGGCAGAGGCCCAGGCUGUGAGGCAAAGCCUCCCCACCUCCCCCCGCUCCAGGGCCAGCCUGACUCUGCCUCUCCACCUCUUCUGGGGGUGGGACCCUCUCC